RNAcentral lists this ribosomal RNA (496 nucleotides) under uncultured bacterium. Its description in RNAcentral is "partial 16S ribosomal RNA". It matches the Rfam family "Bacterial small subunit ribosomal RNA", at positions 28 to 523 of the family's 1533-position model. The record is from RNAcentral.
GAUGAACGCUAGCGGCAGGCCUAACACAUGCAAGUCGAGGGGUAGGGUUAGCUUGCUAACUUGAGACCGGCGCACGGGGGCGUAACGCGUAUGCAAUCUACCUUGUACAGGGGGAUAGCCCAGAGAAAUUUGGAUUAAUACCACAUGGUGUUAUGAUGUGGCAUCACAUUAUAACUAUAGUUCCAACGGUACAAGAUGAGCAUGCGUCCCAUUAGCUAGUUGGUGUGGUAACGGCAUACCAAGGCAAUGAUGGGUAGGGGUCGUGAGAGGGAGACACCCCACACAGGUACUGAGACACGGACCAGACCCCUACGGGAGGGAGCAGAGAGGAAGAUUGGUCAAUGGGCGCAAGCCUGGACCAGCCAUGCCGAGUGCAGGAUGACGGUCCUAUGGAUUGUAAACUGCUUUUAUACGGGAAGAAACACUCCUACGUGUAGGAACUUGACGGUACCGUAAGAAUAAGGAUCGGCUAACUCCGUGCCAGCAGCCGCCGUAA